UUUGCAAUGCUACCAGUUGGUUAUGUGGGAUUUAGGCCUAUCGACUGCCAAGGUCAUUGAGGCCGUCAACAUUACCGAAGAUGUGCGUGGCACUUGAUUGGUUGUUGUGCGGCCGUACAGUUUAGCAGGAACACUGCCCCCUAGUAGCUGCUAAGAAGCUGCAGAGAAUUUAAGUAUAUCCCAUGGCAAGGGGAAACUCAACUUAUAAAUAUUCCAUGUGUUUACCUGGUAUAUAUUUAACUUUCAAUCAAGAAAUCUCAUAGAAAAAUCAUCAACUAGGAUUCUGUUUUAUCAUCUUAAAAAAUUGGCACUAGAAACCUUAAAUAUUAUAAAGAAGACAAGAAAAAUUUAUCCUAAUUAAAUUAUGAAAAAAAAGAGACUGAUAUAACUCUUAAGAGGAGCUUCGUGUUAGCUUAGUUUGAUCUUUUUUUCCUGUAGUGUAUAGAAUAUUUUCAAUCUCUAAGAUGAUCUGUUAUGUGUUUGUUCCCAAUUCAAGUUUUGUGUUGUCUAUUUGAUGUACUUAUAUUCUUAUGUUGCUUCCUAAAUGACUUUCUUAUUUUUGUAUUGAUUCAGAUGUGUAACUGCCCAGAAACAGUAUUUUAUUCCUCACUUGUUCUAUUGUUUAUUUGUAAUAUUUUUCAUGUGAUAUGAUUUUUAUUUUUAUUCUGUGUUUUGAAAAACAAAUAUAAAAUACAUUAGUUUAAAGGAUAUCAAUUUUUUUACCAUGUACAAAACUACCUUUGGUUUCCAUUUUUCAUAAUAUAUAUAUAUAUAUAUAUAUCUGUGUGUGUGUGUGGCUAUUGUUAUAAAGAAUAACUUUUAAUCUAUAUAAGUCGAGUUUCAGUGAAAACAUUAGUGAUGUGUGAUGUUUCUUGCAAAAAAAAUGACUGUUAUAUUUUUUACUAUAUGAAUUGUUUAUUUUCAAACUAAUGUGUUACGGUAACAGCAGUCAUGCAUGUGAUAUAAAAGUUUUAUUUAUGUUGUUACUAGUAUAGACCAGAAAUGUGCCUUAUUGUACAUGUUUAAAUUUUGUACAGACAUUAACAUCAAUACAAAACAAUGUAAUAAAUUAAUUUCAUUAAACAGUAAUUAUCAGUAAAGAAUAACUGCUAAUGGAAUUAUUUAAAUGUAUUGUAGUUAAUUUUGUCGUAAAAAUGUAUAACAGAGUGCUAAUAUCAGAUAUACUUGUACACCACGUUACAAUCUCUAGCACAGGUAGCCAGUGUCAGUUAUAUAUGUACACCAUGUUACAAUCUCUAGCACAGAUUGCCAAUAUCAGAUGUGCUUGUACAGCAUGGGUAGUAUGUUCAUAAUUCUAUAAUCACAGGUAUACUGUUCACUUUAUUGGUAAGAUUAGUAACUGGAAAUAACAAGAGGAAUUACAGAAAAUGUUCUGCAAAAUAAAAUGUAAUUUCUGGCCAUGACUGAGUUAAAUGAAGGGCAAUGCAAUCUUUUAUUUCCAAACAAAUUACAAGGCAGCACCAUGCUUUAAUAUUUGGAGAGAGUUCCCUAUUCAGGAGAUCUGAAAAAAAAUAUGUUUUUCUGUUAGAGAGUAUGACAUCUAUAUAUAUAUAUGUAUAAAAACAGUAAUGUUAUUUCUCUCAGAAUGCAUGAACUACGCAUGUGACAUUUGGUCUUUCCAUAAAUAGAAGUAGGGAUGACAGCCUUCAGUUGUCACAAAACCCACUAUACAGUUGAUUUUCUAUAGAAGCUACAUAAUGUAUUAAACUCUGCUAUCUACCACAAUCCUCUUCAAUGAUAGAAUUAAUUGGAACAAAAGGGACCUCUGGCAAUAGGUAACAGGAACAUCAGCGCAUUAUUGACAUCCCAUAAUCAGUUCUCUAUUGCAAAUCCUGUACAUGCUUAUGUGUGAAAAAUUUUGAAAUAUUCAUGUUUCUAUACUAGAAAAGAAACACCUGGUCUGUUUCAUAGACUAUAUGCUACAUGCUUACAUACACAAAAAAGCACUUCUCUUUCCAGCUGUAGCACCAUUGUUGCAAAGGCUUCGGUCAUCAAAGACAUGAUACAAAACCAAGUUCACAUGGGACAAUAUUUUGUAUUAUUUUGAACAAAAUCCUCUUAAUACUAUAUACAAGUAAGCAAUAAAAUCACAUGAUAAAAUUUUAGAGCUUCUACCAGUUCCAAGCCAAUAGAAAAUAUUAAUUAAGAUUGAUUAUACGUUAAGUAUACGUAUAAAUUUCAAUUAUUAUACAUGAUAGACAGCACGUUAUUCCGAGAUAAAAGAUCACUAAUGCUAUUGUUACACUUUUUCCAUAUCAGACAGGAAAGUUGACUUUUAUAUACCCGCCUUGAUGUGAUGAACAUAUUAAAAAUUAAUAGAUUCAAUUGGUGUAAUGUGAUUCAGUGUGAUAGGAAUUUCAAAUGUGAUUAACAAAAUUAAAUUGAGGUACAUUUUAAAGUGAUGUAAAGGAAAUUAAUUUUAAAAUAAAAUAAUCAUGCUAAUGAUGUUUGUUUGGUGUGAGAGACAUUUUAAUAGUAUGUAGAGAAAUAAGAUUGAUGUACAGCUUAUUAUGGUGAGGGGAAUUUUCAUAUAAAUAACCAAAUUCAACUGAUGUAAUGUUUACUUUGGCAUCUUAUAGUAAGUAGAUAAAUUAAGUUUAUGUACAGUAUGGCAUGGGAAAGGACACUAAUAGAACACGUUGUAUGAGUAUGUUAAUACCUAAUUUGGUGCUAGGGAAUUCCAGUAAUAUUUAGUUAGGUUAACACAUUAUGUAAUCUGGUGUUGGGGAAUUCCACUAAUAUUUAGUUAGGUUAACACAUUAUCUAAUUUGGUGUUAGGGAAUUUUGGCAAUAUGUAGUUAUAUUAACACGUUAUCUAAUUUGGUGUUAGGGAAUUUUGGUAAUAUUUAGUUAGAUCACAUAUAUUUUAACUAUUCAAACAUAUUGUUUCAGUUAUCAUGAUGGGUGUUUUUAUAUUUACUGAAAUAUUUACACAUAAUUAAAAUGUUGUAUUAUAAUUAAACUUAUAAUUAAAAUGUUGUACCAUAAUUAAUAGUAAAAUACGAUUUUUUUAAAAUUAUUUAACAGAUUCUGCCACUGUUAGUAACAUGAGCAUAUAUAAAUUUCUGGCAUCAGUCACAUUCAUUAUUCUCUCAGCAGGUUAUCCUAAGCUUUCCAUUUCUUCUGUUGUGGAUAUAAGUUCUUUCUCUUGUGUCCCCAUAACAACCUUACUUCCUCCAGCAAGCUUUCCUGACUAUGACAUUUUGGCCUUUCCUUCUGUUUCUAUUGUACUUGCUGCAGGGGCUUAUUAACACUAGGAAUAUCUGGCUAAUAAACAGAUAAACCUCAAAACUAAUGUUUGCUGGGUAAAGAAAAAAGGUAUUAGAAUUAAAAGAUCAAAAUCCAUCAUUAAAUUCCCAGCAAAAAAAAAAAA
This 3394-nucleotide long non-coding RNA is filed under the name Limulus polyphemus (Atlantic horseshoe crab). RNAcentral's name for it is "uncharacterized LOC111087388". The record is from RNAcentral. Lineage: Eukaryota; Metazoa; Arthropoda; Merostomata; Xiphosura; Limulidae.